UACGUAGGGUGCAAGCGUUGUCCGGAAUUAUCGGGCGUAAAGAGCUCGUAGGCGGUCUGUCGCGUCGGCUGUGAAAUCCCGAGGCUCAACCUCGGGUCUGCAGUCGAUACGGGCAAACUAGAGUAUUGCAGGGGAGACUGGAAUUCCUGGUGUAGCGGUGAAAUGCGCAGAUAUCAGGAGGAACACCGGUGGCGAAGGCGGGUCUCUGGGCCGUAACUGACGCUGAGGAGCGAAAGCGUGGGGAGCGAACAGG
Molecule: ribosomal RNA, 253 nt
Filed under: uncultured bacterium
Lineage: Bacteria
Description: partial 16S ribosomal RNA
Rfam family: Bacterial small subunit ribosomal RNA
Source: RNAcentral